AACGGGUCUUAGCUUGCUAAGAUUGUCAGCUAAGUGGCGCACGGGUGAGUAAUAUAUAGUUAACCUGCCCUAGAGAGAGGGAUAACGUUUGGAAACGGACGCUAAUACCUCAUAUGCCUUUAAUACAUAAGUAUGCAAGGGAAACAUUUAUGGCUCUAGGAUGGGACUGUACGGUAUCAGUUAGUUGGUGAGGUAAUGGCUCACCAAGACAAUGACACCUAACUGGUUUGAGAGGAUGAUCAGUCACACUGGAACUGAGACACGGUCCAGACUCCUACGGGAGGCAGCAGUGGGGAAUAUUGCACAAUGGACGAAAGUCUGAUGCAGCAACGCCGCGUGGAGGAUGACACAUUUCGGUGCGUAAACUCCUUUUAUAUAGGAAGAUAAUGACGGUACUAUAUGAAUAAGCACCGGCUAACUCCGUGCCAGCAGCCGCGGUAAUACGGAGGGUGCAAGCGUUACUCGGAAUCACUGGGCGUUAAGAGCGUGUAGGCGGAUAGGUAAGUCAGAAGUGAAAUCCAAUAGCUCAACUAUUGAACUGCUUUUUGAAACUGCUUGUCUA
Molecule: ribosomal RNA, 562 nt
Filed under: uncultured Arcobacter sp.
Lineage: Bacteria; Pseudomonadati; Campylobacterota; Epsilonproteobacteria; Campylobacterales; Arcobacteraceae
Description: bacterial SSU rRNA
Rfam family: Bacterial small subunit ribosomal RNA
Source: RNAcentral